UCUACUCUUUAUAUGUCUAUGCUUAUAUAUGUGUGUAUGGUAGCAGCCUACAUGCUGCUCACUGACGCUGUUCAUUGGUUAAGCUGACAUGUGGUUCCUGCUUGAUCCAAAACACACCUGCGGCUUUAGAGGACACCGUUGAGGAGUUUUGCAGAGAGAGAUGAGGGUGAUAUGGAUUCAGAGUCAGACUCUGGGGAGGAAGACAGUGAAGCAGAAGGAAAUGGCACCGAACUCCCCCCACCCAGCACAACCUAUUGCACACCAAAAGGACCAGUUGACAUCUCAAGAACUAAAGCGGAAGGUCCAGCUCAGCCAUGUCUGUCAAAGUUCCCAAGAACUCAGCAUGGAACAAGAACAAGGGCUUUGAACAGCUCUUGGUACAAAGACAAUCCACGGCUUGAGUACUCUGUAUCUCAAAAUGCCAGUUACUGUUUUGCAUGCAGGCAUUUCUCCCUGCCUAGUUCUACAGAAUCAUCCUUCACAUCUGAAGCAGGAGGCCUUAAAUGAGGCUAGGAAACAGAAAGUUGAAGAAAAUAAAAAAUACAUUAAAACAGUUGCUGAGGUGUUACUAUUAACAGCAACUGAAAAUAUUGCACAAAGGGGUCACAGGGAGUCUGAUGACUGACAAUAAAGGCAAUUUUUUAGCCAUUUUGAAUGAAAUUGCAAAGCAUAACCCCUUUGUGCAGAGAAGGUUAGAUGCACAUGGCAAUGCAAAGUAUACUAGCCACCAAAUCCAAAAUGAGGUUGUGCAGGGAUUGGCUGAAAUGGUUCAAAAAGAAAUCACAGCUGAAGUUAAACAAAGCGAGGUGUUCAGUGUGUUGGCAGAUGAGACUAGAGAUUUACAACAGAAA
Fundulus heteroclitus (mummichog) is the source of this 851-nucleotide long non-coding RNA. RefSeq lists it as uncharacterized. The transcript is spliced from 3 exons. Lineage: Eukaryota; Metazoa; Chordata; Actinopteri; Cyprinodontiformes; Fundulidae. The record is from RefSeq and is a predicted model, not a curated record.